Molecule: ribosomal RNA, 1482 nt
Filed under: uncultured Bordetella sp.
Lineage: Bacteria; Pseudomonadati; Pseudomonadota; Betaproteobacteria; Burkholderiales; Alcaligenaceae
Description: partial 16S-23S ribosomal RNA intergenic spacer
Rfam family: Bacterial small subunit ribosomal RNA
Source: RNAcentral
GGUUUUGAUCAUGGCUCAGGUGAACGCUGGCGGGAUGCUUUACACGCGCUUCAAGUCGAACAGCAGCGAGGACUUCAGUCUCUGGUGGCGAACGGCGAACGGGUGAGUAAUGUAUCAGGAACAAUAUGCACUAAUGGCGGGGAUAACUACCUGGCGUAGCUAAUACCGCAUACCGCCCUUCCAGGAAAGCGGGGACCUUCGGGCCUCGCACUAUUAAACGGCCGAUAUCGGAUUAGCUAGUUGGUGGGGUAACGGCUCACCAAGAGCGGCGAUCCGUAGCUGGUUUGAGAGGACGACCAACCACUGGGACUGGAGCGGCCAGACUCUCUGGGCAGCAAGUGGGGAAUUUUGGACAAUGGGGAAACCUGAUCUGACCAUCCCGCGUGUACGAUAGAAGGCCUUCGGGUUGUAAAAAGCACUUUUGGCAGAGAAAGAAACGGCUGGGAUAAUACCCGUGCAACUGACGAAUACCUGCUGAAUAAGCACCGGCUAACUACGUGCCAGCAGCCGCGGUAAUACGUAGGGUGCAAGCGUUAAUCGGAAUUACUGGGCGUAAAGCGUGCGAGCGGUUCCAGGAAGAAGAUAUAUGUGAAAUCCCAGAGGCUUAGCUUUGGAACUGCAUUUUUAACUACCGAGCUAGAGUGUGUCCGAGAAGAGGUGGAACUGCGUGUAGCAGUGAAAAUGGCAGAUAUGCGGAGGAGCUUGCCGAUGGCGAAGGCAGCCUCCUGGGAUAACACUGACGCUCAUGCAGCGUGGAGGAGCAAACAGGAUUAGAUACCCUGAUAGUCCACGCCUAAACGAUGUCAACUAGCUGUUGGGGCCUUCGGGCCUUGGUAGCGCAGCUAACGCGUGAAGUUGACCGCCUGGGAGUGCGGUCGCAAAAUUCGCUCGAGGGCAGGCGGGGACCCUUUCAGCAGGUGGAUGAUAUCGGAUUAAUUCGAUUACAACGCGAAAAACCUUACCUACCCUUGACAUGUCUGGAAUCCCGAAGAGAUUUGGGAGUGCUCGCAAGAGAACCGGAACACAGGUGCUGCAUGGCUUCAUCGUCUGGCUCGAUGUCGUGAGAUGUUGGUUAGUCCCUGCUUGACGCCAGCCCUUGUCGUGGAUUGCUACGAAAGGGCACCUAAUGAGACUGCCGGUGACAAACGGAGGAAGGUGGGGAUGACGUCAGGUCCUCUUGGCCCUUAUGGGUAGGGCUUCACACGUCAUACAAUGGUCGGGACGGGGUCGCCAACCCGCGAGGGGGCCAAUCCCAGAAACCCGAUCGUAGUCCGGAUCACCAGUCUGCAGCUCGACUGCGUGAAGUCGGAAUCGCUAGUAAUCGCGGAUCAGCAUAAUAACGGUGGGCCACGUUCCCGGGUCUGUUGUGCCCACCGCCCGUCACACCAUGGGAGUGGGUUUUACCAGAAGUAGUUAGCCUAACCAAUAAGGAGGCGAUUACCACAGUAGGAUUCAUGACUGGGGUGAAGUCGUAACAGGUAA